GACGAACGCUGGCGGCGUGCUUAACACAUGCAAGUCGAGCGGAAAGGCCCUGCUUUUGUGGGGUGCUCGAGUGGCGAACGGGUGAGUAACACGUGAGUAACCUGCCCUUGACUUUGGGAUAACUUCAGGAAACUGGGGCUAAUACCGGAUAGGAUCUCCUGCUGCAUGUUGUGGGUUGGAAAGUUUCGGCGGUUGGGGAUGGACUCGCGGCUUAUCAGCUUGUUGGUGAGGUAGUGGCUUACCAAGGCUUUGACGGGUAGCCGGCCUGAGAGGGUGACCGGCCACAAUGGGACUGAGAUACGGCGCAGUCUGCUACGGGAGGCAGCAGUGGGGAAUAUUGCACAACGGGCGGAAGCCUGAUGCAGCAGCGCCGCGUGCGGGAUGACGGCCUACGGGUUGUAAACAGAUUUCGACUGUGACGAAGAGUGAGUGACGGUAAUGGGUAAAGAAGCACCGGCUAACUACGUG
This 468-nucleotide ribosomal RNA is filed under the name uncultured bacterium. RNAcentral's name for it is "partial 16S ribosomal RNA". It matches the Rfam family "Bacterial small subunit ribosomal RNA", at positions 28 to 507 of the family's 1533-position model. The record is from RNAcentral.